Molecule: long non-coding RNA, 1274 nt
Organism: Chiloscyllium plagiosum (whitespotted bambooshark)
Lineage: Eukaryota; Metazoa; Chordata; Chondrichthyes; Orectolobiformes; Hemiscylliidae
Source: RefSeq, a predicted model, not a curated record
CCCUUUGGUGAACUUAAUUAGUGGUGAUUUAUUUGUGAAUAUUAUUUGUUUAUUUGCUCUUCGAAGUUGUUGAAGGGUUUACGUAACACUUAGUAGCGGAUAAUCGUGGAGUUAAUACAAAAAUGUCCCUUAAUACUGUGACCGAUGCUGGGAGAACAGGCCAGCCUGUUCUUAUAGUGAGGGACAACGGCCGAAGCCCCGCUUUAAGAGAGGACACUGAGUCGGUCAGACAGUAUCUAUGGAGAGAGAUAUAGACUUUUCUUCCGUUUUGAGACUCCAGCAGGCACUGACAGACAUGCUGAGUGUUUUAUUUGUGCCAGCAGUCUCUGUUUCAGAUUUUCUGCACCUGCAGUAUUUUACUUUGUUUUAAACGCGAUGAGGAGGUGUCGGUGUUGGACUGGGGUGGAUAAAGAUAUACAAAAGGGAAGAAAUAAUAUACUGAAAGAGGAUAUAAUAAAUGGAGAUCAUCUUGGUCUCCUCACAGGAGAGAACGUUUGAAGAACUUGACUUGUGGCUGCAUGAAGAAGGAAAUAGCCAAUAUGGAAGAAGCACAUUGACUGAAUCAAACCAAUAUUUAGGACAUGCUUGUCAUAAAGAUUCAAUCCAAAUAUUAUGAAUAUAACUAGUAGCAAAAACACAUCAAUAAACUCAUAUUUUAACAUUUGAAACUUAUAAUCAUUGAAAUUUUAAGGUAACAGUGAACAUUUGUUAUUAAUGAGAGUGAAACUUGUUUUUAAACUCAGUUGUGAAGCUUUGGAAUUCCCUUCCUUAAACAGGAGUGGAUGCAGAAACUUUAAAUAUUUUAAAGAUAGAGGUAGAUAGAUUCUUCAUUACUAAGGAUGAAAGUGUAACUGUGAUUUGUAGGUCUUUGGAAAGGAGGUUAAAAUCAGAUCAGUCAUUAUAUUAGUGAAUGGUGGAGCAGGCUCAAAAAGCCAAGUGGCACAUUCUUGUUUCUUCUGUAUCUGUUUGUACAUAAAAUGCUGGGGUUGUUUUUACUUUGAAAAAUUUUGAUACCCUUAUUCACAGAGAGAUGUCAUUUCAUUGGAGACAGUUCAGAGAAGAUUCACUGGGAUGAUCCCCAAUAUGCACACUAUCAGCAUUCUGCAGAGACCAUUCCCUCUACGACUCCCUCGUUAGGUCCAUGGCCCCCACCAACCCACCCACCACUCCCGGCAGCUUCCUUUGUCGGCCACAAGAGGUGUCAAACCUGCACCCACACCUAACCCCUCACCUCCAUCUAAGGCCCCAAAGGAUCCUUCCACAUCCAGCAGAGA